CUGAAUAGCAGCACAAGGUCCCUGAUGGAGUCAGGCUGCUUCAUCUCAAGCACAUCAUACAGGUGAACCCAGAUUGCUGAGUUUGUUUCAAUCUGAUUGCAUUUUCCAGAGCGGCAAUCACUGUCGAUGGCGGUGAUUAAGGUCUCUUUGGAAAGUGCAGCUUACAUUAGAAGCUGGGGAAUUGGAUCUCAGAUUGGGAGAGGUACCUGUGAGAGCUCAGCGGGUUACCACUACAAAAAGAAAAGUCAUAUGCAUUUAACAGAGAACUCUUACUUGGCUGCACUCGUCUCCAGAGUGUAGGUCUUGUUGUCCCAGUCAUCAGGAUCUGGGGCAUACACCCUCCCCAUGGCCGCAUUUCCCAUCCUUCCUGUUCAAGGUCUGUGGAUUACAGAAAACUACUGCAGAGUUAAACCUCUCAGCAGUGAUGAUCUCAGCCUCUCACCUGCAGCACAAACACAGGUGACCCAUCCAGCUCCUCUGUGACUGAUCCAUAGUACUCGCUCAUGGAGAACACGGGCGCCUCAUCAUUUUUAUUAACCACAGUAACGACCACAGCGGCGUAGUCCUCCCACUUUCCAUCUGAGGCAAGGACCAGCAGCUUGUAUCUCUUCUGCUCCUCGUAAUCCAGCGGCUGGGCGAUGAAAAUCGUCCCCACCUCUGGCUCGAUGUCAAACACACCUCCUUUGUUGCCAGAUGUGAUCUGGUAGCGCAGCUUGGCAUUUGCACCUGUGGCAUGAAUCACAGAAUGCAUGAAUGAGAUUAAAUCACCAACAAGGCUCAGCAAUUAAA
Notolabrus celidotus (New Zealand spotty) is the source of this 789-nucleotide long non-coding RNA. RefSeq lists it as uncharacterized. Lineage: Eukaryota; Metazoa; Chordata; Actinopteri; Labriformes; Labridae. The record is from RefSeq and is a predicted model, not a curated record. The transcript is spliced from 3 exons.